This 253-nucleotide ribosomal RNA is filed under the name uncultured bacterium. RNAcentral describes it as "partial 16S ribosomal RNA". It matches the Rfam family "Bacterial small subunit ribosomal RNA", at positions 524 to 776 of the family's 1533-position model. The record is from RNAcentral.
UACAGAGGGUGCGAGCGUUGUCCGGAAUUAUUGGGCGUAAAGAGCUCGUAGGCGGCCUGUUGCGUCCGCUGUGAAAGCCCGGGGCUUAACCCCGGGUCUGCAGUGGAUACGGGCAGGCUAGAGGUAGGUAGGGGAGAAUGGAAUUCCCGGUGUAGCGGUGAAAUGCGCAGAUAUCGGGAGGAACACCGGUGGCGAAGGCGGUUCUCUGGGCCUUACCUGACGCUGAGGAGCGAAAGCGUGGGGAGCGAACAGG